CCUGGUUCCUGAACACCUGGAUCCUGAACACCUGGAUCCUGAACACCUGGGCUGUGUCUGAAAUCACUCCCUAUCCACUAUGUAGUGGACACGCCAUUUUGUAGUGCAGUCUGAAUUCUGAGGACUGAUGACGAUGUAGCCCAGCUGAUCCGGCUGAGGAGGGAGAAGGACCACCCCUUCAGCGGGAGGCGGUUUGCUGCUGCUGCAGGAUGGGAAACUUUGCUGAAAGACAUGCUGCUGUCUGAUCGAGUCAGUCCUGCUCGGGCGGAUAAAAAGUGGGAGAACUUGAAGAAAACGUACAAGUCAUGAUCAUCCAGAGCUGGCGGAUUUUCAAUCGGGGCUGAAAGAGCAGCAGCCAUGCGUCCACGCAGCUGCUCCCCACACUGCGAGUCAGGCUGAAGCUUGCCGUCUCCAUCAUCCGGCCUCAGUGCCUCUUCAACUGGCUCAAUUGUGUCGCCAUCCCUGAGGCAGAAAUUGUGGAGGAUGGCACAACAAGCCACCACCUCCACAGAGAACACAGGGCUCACUUCUAGGGCCUUGAAAAAGACGGAGCGCCAUCUAGCCUUCAUAAUACCAAAGGCCCGCUCGAUAACUGUCAUGAUUUGGUUUUGAAUUUGACUUUCCCUGUUUUACCCCAGUGCUGCUUGUUUCCCUUGUGUGUUAAUGUUUCCUAGUGUUGAUGGUUUCCUAGUUUUGUCUUCAGUGUUUUCUGUUUUAUU
Molecule: non-coding RNA, 719 nt
Organism: Labrus bergylta (ballan wrasse)
Lineage: Eukaryota; Metazoa; Chordata; Actinopteri; Labriformes; Labridae
Source: RefSeq, a predicted model, not a curated record